Long non-coding RNA from Cyprinus carpio carpio, 1021 nucleotides. NCBI's taxonomy places the organism in Eukaryota, Metazoa, Chordata, Actinopteri, Cypriniformes, Cyprinidae. The record is from Ensembl.
UGGAAGAUGCCUGGCGAUGGAUUAAUGGCUGGGAGAACAAAUGAAGUCUUGGAGAGAGUUUAUAUCUUUCAAUACAAAGCAAAAAAGUGGAUGGCUAUUUUAUUUUAUACUGGUCCUCCGCACAGUUUGCCUGCAUUAGCACACCUCUGAAACAGCACUGACUUUCACCGUACAUGAGAAGGAGAAUAGGAUGAAAUCUACUUACUGCAUUGAAAUGAGGUUCAUCAGGAGUGGAGGAAGGUCACCGUCAACCUAUGAGGGAAUAUGAAAGCCGCUCUCAAUCAGAGAGCCUCUCACAGUCUUUGAGCCUGCCUCUCUCAAACUUGCCCCCCGCCUCUCGGCCCAGUCAAGAUGCUGCUUGCCGAUUCCACAUUCAAUAGAAGCCUUAGCCCAGCAAAUAAAAUACAGCUCUCUUCCUCUCACAGCACUCCUGCUCGCAGAAUCAAAAGCAAUGUCUAUAUAAAAGAGAAACUGCAAGACAUUUAACUAGCAGACAUUUUUUAACAAUGAGGAGGAAAAUUGCUUUCAUGCAGAAUUCUAAGUAAAAGUAUGUGUCAUACAAAAAGGGGGGACAUGGCAACAAGGCCAAGGGUUGUGUCUAGACUCACUCCUUACACCUUGAAUAGGAAAACGAUUCUUUUGGACUCAGAAUCUCAGAAAAAAGCAAAGUAUUCAUUCAUCGGUUGAACGUAAUCAUCUUUUACUGGGGGCAAAAACACUCAGUUUCAUGUCUUGACUACACUGAUAACUAGCAACUAUUAGAUACUUUCAGUGCUAUUAAGCAUUGCUGAAUGAACUGAGGGGUUGAUUCCCUUUGCUUGACUGCUUAACUGAAAUACACCUUGGGAUAAUUGCAGUGGAAGUGUAUGGGAGUAGCAUAUUGAGGUUGUGCAGUGCCCUACAGCCUAUUUAUAGAUGUGCAGCGAACUGCGAUAUGAGAGCGAGGUGAACAUGUGGUUACUUGUGUACCCAUGUGGAUGUUCGCAUACAGCAAUGGAGGACAGGGGGAGUGUGUGGGGCU